CGGCGAGUGAAGCGGCAACAGCUCAAAUUUGAAAUCUGGCUCUCGGGCCCGAGUUGUAAUUUGUAGAGGAUGCUUUUGAUGCGGUGCCUUCCGAGUUCCCUGGAACGGGACGCCAUAGAGGGUGAGAGCCCCGUCUGGUUGGAUGCCAAAUCUCUGUAAAGCUCCUUCGACGAGUCGAGUAGUUUGGGAAUGCUGCUCUAAAUGGGAGGUAUAUGUCUUCUAAAGCUAAAUACCGGCCAGAGACCGAUAGCGCACAAGUAGAGUGAUCGAAAGAUGAAAAGCACUUUGAAAAGAGAGUUAAAAAGUACGUGAAAUUGUUGAAAGGGAAGCGUUUAUGACCAGACUUGGGCUUGGUUAAUCAUCUGGGGUUCUCCCCAGUGCAC
RNAcentral lists this ribosomal RNA (383 nucleotides) under Fusarium equiseti. RNAcentral's name for it is "partial large subunit ribosomal RNA". It matches the Rfam family "Eukaryotic large subunit ribosomal RNA", at positions 87 to 475 of the family's 3401-position model. Lineage: Eukaryota; Fungi; Ascomycota; Sordariomycetes; Hypocreales; Nectriaceae. The record is from RNAcentral.